UAGGGAAUCUUCGGCAAUGGACGGAAGUCUGACCGAGCAACGCCGCGUGAGUGAAGAAGGUUUUCGGAUCGUAAAGCUCUGUUGUAAGAGAAGAACGAGUGUGAGAGUGGAAAGUUCACACUGUGACGGUAUCUUACCAGAAAGGGACGGCUAACUACGUGCCAGCAGCCGCGGUAAUACGUAGGUCCCGAGCGUUGUCCGGAUUUAUUGGGCGUAAAGCGAGCGCAGGCGGUUAGAUAAGUCUGAAGUUAAAGGCUGUGGCUUAACCAUAGUACGCUUUGGAAACUGUUUAACUUGAGUGCAAGAGGGGAGAGUGGAAUUCCAUGUGUAGCGGUGAAAUGCGUAGAUAUAUGGAGGAACACCGGUGGCGAAAGCGGCUCUCUGGCUUGUAACUGACGCUGAGGCUCGAAAGCGUGGGGAGCAAACAGGAUUAGAUACCCUGGUAGCCCACGCCGUAAACGAUGAGUGCUAGGUGUUAGACCCUUUCCGGGGUUUAGUGCCGCAGCUAACGCAUUAAGCACUCCGCCUGGGGAGUACGACCGCAAGGUUG
This 550-nucleotide ribosomal RNA is filed under the name uncultured bacterium. RNAcentral describes it as "bacterial SSU rRNA". It matches the Rfam family "Bacterial small subunit ribosomal RNA", at positions 355 to 896 of the family's 1533-position model. The record is from RNAcentral.